CGGCAGGCUUAACACAUGCAAGUCGAGGGGUAUAGUUCUUCGGAAUUAGAGACCGGCGCACGGGUGCGUAACGCGUAUGCAAUCUACCUUUCACAGAGGGAUAGCCCAGAGAAAUUUGGAUUAAUACCUCAUAGUAUGCAGAGUUGGCAUCAACACUGCAUUAAAGUCACAACGGUGAAAGAUGAGCAUGCGUCCCAUUAGCUAGUUGGUAAGGUAACGGCUUACCAAGGCUACGAUGGGUAGGGGUCCUGAGAGGGAGAUCCCCCACACUGGUACUGAGACACGGGCCAGACUCCUACGGGAGGCAGCAGUGAGGAAUAUUGGACAAUGGGCGCAAGCCUGAUCCAGCCAUGCCGCGUGCAGGAUGACGGUCCUAUGGAUUGUAAACUGCUUUUGCACAGGAAGAAACAACGCUACGUGUAGCGUCUUGACGGUACUGUGAGAAUAAGGAUCGGCUAACUCCGUGCCAGCAGCCGCGGUAAUACGGAGGAUCCAAGCGUUAUCCGGAAUCAUUGGGUUUAAAGGGUCCGUAGGCGGUUUGGUAAGUCAGUGGUGAAAGCCCAUCGCUCAACGGUGGAACGGCCAUUGAUACUGCCAGACUUGAAUUAUUAGGAAGUAACUAGAAUAUGUAGUGUAGCGGUGAAAUGCUUAGAGAUUACAUGGAAUACCAAUUGCGAAGGCAGGUUACUACUAAUGGAUUGACGCUGAUGGACGAAAGCGUG
This 722-nucleotide ribosomal RNA is filed under the name uncultured soil bacterium. Its description in RNAcentral is "bacterial SSU rRNA". It matches the Rfam family "Bacterial small subunit ribosomal RNA", at positions 40 to 763 of the family's 1533-position model. The record is from RNAcentral.